CCAAAGGCUCUUUUCAGGGCCACCCACAUGUCCACUAAGAGAGCUG
This is a non-coding RNA of Felis catus (domestic cat), 46 nucleotides long. The record is from Rfam. Lineage: Eukaryota; Metazoa; Chordata; Mammalia; Carnivora; Felidae.